GGUAUGGUGUGGAAAGUUUUUCGGUCUGGGAUGGACUCGCGGCCUAUCAGCUUGUUGGUGAGGUAAUGGCUCACCAAGGCGACGACGGGUAGCCGGCCUGAGAGGGCGACCGGCCACACUGGGACUGAGACACGGCCCAGACUCCUACGGGAGGCAGCAGUGGGGAAUAUUGCACAAUGGGCGAAAGCCUGAUGCAGCGACGCCGCGUGAGGGAUGACGGCCUUCGGGUUGU
This 232-nucleotide ribosomal RNA is filed under the name Salmonella enterica. RNAcentral describes it as "partial 16S ribosomal RNA". It matches the Rfam family "Bacterial small subunit ribosomal RNA", at positions 195 to 426 of the family's 1533-position model. Lineage: Bacteria; Pseudomonadati; Pseudomonadota; Gammaproteobacteria; Enterobacterales; Enterobacteriaceae. The record is from RNAcentral.